UUUUGCUUAUUUAUUUAUUUAUAUCAAUAUGGACUUAUUUAUUCUUUGAGUUGUAACUCAAUACUUACUUUCUUGCCCCAAUUUUUCCACUUUGGGCCACUGGGAACUCUUUCAGUUGGUUUUUAACAUUCCUUUGACAUUCCCUCCUCAUGUUUGUUUUUUGUUUAUUGGUUUGUUUGUUCUAGCACUUACUUACUUUCUGACACAAGAUAUUCUAGGUUGAUCAAGUAUAUUUCCUGCCCCCAUGAAAUUUGUCCAAAUAGCCCUGAUUCCUUCAAUUGGAGGACAGUAUUAGAAACCAAAAUCGUGGCACUUUGUGUGCUGGUUUCUACUGGAGUAUAUUGCUUGUAGGUUUUCUCAGAUGACAGAGAAAGGAAAUAUAUGUGUAUACACUUAGCCAUAUAUAUAUGUGUGUGUGAGUGUAUAUAUGAUACAUUUUACGUGAACUUGUCCAUAUCCAUAUUAACCUAACCAUGAGCUCAUACUGAAGUCUCCAAUUUGAAUCAAUUUCUACAUGGAUUAUUCUAGCCUUCUUCUUUUUCUUAUCUGUAACUGCCCAGUCCAAGAGUGAGACAAUUGGUUCCCACCACCCACCAAUAACUGACUUACCUGUUCAAUCCCAUGUAUAGGGGAUUUAGAGUUAUUAACACAGGGAAAUAAUACUGUUAACUAGAGUACAGUACUAAAGUACAGGACUUUUUGCCUUUAGUCUUACAGAUUCAUUUCUGAAGUUACUUAGGUCAGUACCUUCCCCCUCUCUACCACUUCCCUAAGGUGGAGGUUGCUUCAUACAUUUGUAACACAGUUAGAUUCUUUAUCACAUUCUGCAUCCAUCCUGGGAUUCUCUAACCUCCUAAAUUAUUUUUUUUAAGUUAUGUACAUUAAGUUUACUUUGUGCUAUAAAGUUCUAUUUGUUUUGAUAAAUGCAUAAAUUUAUUUAUCUACUACCACCAUGUCUUACAGAAUAGUUUUGCUGUGCUGAAAAAUGCCUAUGCUUCCUUCACUCAUUUAGUUAGCUUCUGACCCCAACUCCUGGCAAUCACUGACCUGUACACUCCCUACAGUUUUUCCCUUUCCAAAAGGUCAUAUAAAUAAAAUCAUACAGGUGUAACCUAUUCAGACUAGCUUCUUUAACUUAGCAAUGUAUAUCGUAUUCAUCCAUAUAUUUGUGUGACUUGAUAGUCCAUUUGUUUUUGUUCACUAAGUAGUAUGGCAUUAUAUGGAAUUUCUACAGUUUUCUAUUAACUUAUUGAACGGCAUCUUGGUUGUUUCCAGUUUGGGGUGAUUAUUAUUAACCUUCUAUAAACUUCUUGCAUGAGUAUUUUGUGUGUUUAUAAACUUUAAAAUCAGGUAGGUACAUACCUAGGAGUCCAAUUGCUGGAUUAGAUGAUUAAACAGUUUAGCUUUGUAAACAUUGCCAAACUGUCUUCCAAAUUGGCUGUGUCAAGCAAUGAAUAAACUGUCUCGUUUUCUGCUUCUUCAAGAACAACUGUCAUUGUUUUUACUAUGUUUGUUUUUCUGGAUCUUAGCCAUUCCGAUAUGUAUAACGGUAUCUCAUUAUUGUUUUAAUCACGAGUCUAUUUUAAUAUGAUUGCAUAUCCCUAUGAAAUCUAUCAAACUUUCAUUGUCCUGAAUAGUUAUUUUUAAACAUAGGGCUGUGUAAGAGUUCUAUAUGUCCUAGUUAAACACACCCAAUAUAAUCUAAGUUACAAAAAUUAUUGUUUUAAUCACGAGUCUAUUUUAAUAUGAUUGCAUAUCCCUAUGAAAUCUAUCAAACUUUCAUUGUCCUGAAUAGUUAGUUUUUAAACAUAGGGCUAUGUAAGAGUUCUAUAUCUCCUAGUUAAACACACCCAAGAUAAUCCAACAGUUACAAAAAUGAAGAAACAACCACAGAAUACAGACUGAGUCUUCUCUGUUUCUUCAAUCAGUUUUGUUGGGUCAAACAGCAGAUAAAACAUAAAAUGUGCUUAUGAUCUAUGGCUUAAUUAUGCACACUUUCUAUAGUAGUAAUCAAAUUACUGUGCAAAAUAGAUCCUGUAAUGUAAUACUCACAGACAAAUAAAGACAAUACCAGAGAGGACUAAAUAAUAACAGAGCAAAUAUUAAAAUAGAAAAGUAAAUGUUGAAUGUGUAAUAUUACCAAGUAACAAAAACAUAGUAAAGGGCGUACUUCCAGAAAAAAUUUGCUAAAGUAAGAGGAUGAAGUGAGAGAAAGGUUUUGAAAAUAAUUAUCCUUGUUAACUGAUCCUUUCAAGUAUCUAAUCAAUUUUAUUUUAAACAAAUCUAUAAGUAAACAGAUUCAAGUUUUUUAAAAAUAAUCUAUAUACAUGUAUAUAUGUUUCAUAUUAAGUGCAGAUGAUUAAAAAUCAAGUCCCAUGUAAAAAUAAGAAAUGUCCUUUGUUUUGACUUUUUUUAAGCUUUGCCUAUAACAUUUGAACAGUAACUUACCUCCAGACUCAACCUCAUUAUUCCCAUCUCCCAAUGGUUCACUGGAAAGAGCAGCACCUACAUUCUCUGAGGAACUGAAAAUCAUGGAUACAACCUCAGGCUGAGUAAUUUCAUUUUCCCACAACUAUGGUAUAACAAUCUCCUUUGAAUUGACUGUUUCUUUAGUGGUAUAGGUUGGACCAUUACAUGAGAACAAAACUUUGGAAUGAUAUUACCAUCUAGUACUCUUUCUCCAUCUAGCAUUGUCAGGUUAAUAAAUAAAAACCCUGGAAACCAGUUAAAUUUAAAUUUUAGAUAAAAUGAAAUAAAAUAUUGAUUGCAUGGAGCAUACUAGAACUAAAAUUUGUUUUUUAAUUGAAAUUUAGUCUUAACUGAGCAUCCUUUAUUUCAUCUUGAAAACUUACCUCCAUUCCCUUCUGUUGGCUUAUGAGUUCAAGAGGAGAAUUAUAUUGAGAAGAUAAAAAGAGACCAGAUCAACAGGGAAGAUGGUAAAACCUCACAGAAAGAACCUAAGAUAGGAUAAAAUAUUUAAAGACUAUUUCUUUUUUUAAGUAACCAUAAUCAUGGUAGACCAGGGUGUUCAUUUAACUUCUAAUGUCUUUGAAACAAUUUACUUACUGUUUUGUGUAAAGAUGCCCCUACCCAUAUGUUAUAAAUCCAAGUCAUAUGAAGGCUAACAUUGGUUUACAUUGCCAAUGAGCUGAGAUGGAUAUUCAUUUUAUUAACAUUUAUAGGAUAUUUUUCUAAGUACUUUAUUAUAUGUGAUUUUGCCGUGCUAACAGAGGCUUGUGUUGUUUUCUAUUUCUUUUGUUGAAAAACAUGAAUACUGAUAUAAAUUUAAAUGAACACCCAAGGAUAUAGUUAAUGAAGAUCUUUAUGUAUUUGUGUUAUUUUAUAAAAGAAAGGCUUUUUACCUGAAAGACACCCAGUGACAGACAGAAACAGAAUCAGUUUCCAAGAGGAAGCCAUUCUUGUUCACUAGGCUCGCCUUUGUCCCUGUGUAUUUACCAGCUCUGACGUUUCUUCAUUAAAGAAUGUCCU
RNAcentral lists this long non-coding RNA (3489 nucleotides) under Sus scrofa (pig). RNAcentral describes it as "lncRNA (ENSSSCG00065058672.1)". The record is from RNAcentral. Lineage: Eukaryota; Metazoa; Chordata; Mammalia; Artiodactyla; Suidae.